RNAcentral lists this microRNA precursor (90 nucleotides) under Erinaceus europaeus (western European hedgehog). Its description in RNAcentral is "miRNA (ENSEEUG00000019436.1)". The record is from RNAcentral. Lineage: Eukaryota; Metazoa; Chordata; Mammalia; Eulipotyphla; Erinaceidae.
CUGACUGUGUGUGUGUGUGUGUGUGUGUGUGUGUGUGUGUGUGUUCUCAUUCUCUCUCUCUCUCACACACACACACACACACACACACAG